UGAAAGAUCUCAUCAUUUUCCAAACACCAAAUCAUCAAUCACCACCCCGCAAACCCAUCAAACUUUUCUUUUAUUUCCUUUCAUGUCCUUCCUCCAUUGUUGAACCAUCCAAGCUUCAAACAUUUCUUUCGUAAAAGCUAAAAAGAAGAAUAGUGAGUAACUUUAUUUCAUGAGGAAACUUCCAUAGAUGGGUUAAAAGAGAGAAAGACAAGAGUUAGGGUUUUGGGUUUUCAAAGAGUUAAGAAAAAACAGAAGAAGUUUGAGGACAAAAGUGAAAGGAAAGGAAAAGAAGUGGCCAAGGAGUAGAAGAGAAGAAAAACUCAUCAUCCAAAUUUUGGUUGUAAGUACCUCAAGUAGUAAUUUUGUUUAAGUUAUGUUAAUUAAGUAGUUUAAUUACUAAAUUAAUGAUAUCAUAAUAAGUAUUUAGUAUGGGUAAAUAAUGUAAAUGUUAUGAAUUUUGACUUUGGUGUACCAUUAUAUGGCGUAUUACGGUGAUAAUGAAAAGGAUUAAAUUGAAAGAAAUUAAAAUA
This is a long non-coding RNA of Gossypium raimondii (Peruvian cotton), 530 nucleotides long. RefSeq lists it as uncharacterized. The record is from RefSeq and is a predicted model, not a curated record. The transcript is spliced from 2 exons. NCBI's taxonomy places the organism in Eukaryota, Viridiplantae, Streptophyta, Magnoliopsida, Malvales, Malvaceae.